This 2572-nucleotide long non-coding RNA is filed under the name Heterocephalus glaber (naked mole-rat). Its description in RNAcentral is "lncRNA (ENSHGLG00000036339.1)". Lineage: Eukaryota; Metazoa; Chordata; Mammalia; Rodentia; Bathyergidae. The record is from RNAcentral.
CUAAUGCCCUGUUUCUCAAAAUCCUUUACAAAAGGAGGUAGAUUCAUAAAUUAACAGUUCAAGGUCUGGUAUUUUAAUGUUACUUUUUUUUCUUCUUUUGCUUUUUGUCUGCUUCCAGUUUAAGCUUAACUUCUUCAGCUGUAAGGGCUCCAAGUUUCUUAUUCUUUGCUUUCUUAACCUUUUCCUUGAUGGUAGCCACAUCAAUUUUAGUUUCAGUAGACGCUUCCUUAGGUUUUGCAACAGGCUUUUCUUUAGGUGGAAUAAAUGCUUUAUUUCUUGCCUCUUGUCUCUUACUGAGAGCUUCUGCUUGUUUAGCCUUUAUUGCUUCCAUUUUCUGUCACUUCUGAUUUGCCUUCAAAAAGUAUUCACCAUUAGCCAAUUCUCUGUCAACCUGACUUUCUGGCUGUGGUGGUGGGAAUGGUGCAUACUCUUUCUUUACAGUUUUCUUCUUUGGUUCUUUGCGUUUAUUCACAUUUUUGUGUUUGAACUGUGGCAAAAAGCUUUCCCAACUUUGUGAUCGUAAUUCAGAAUCUUUUGCCAACUCUUGUUUAAUCAUUAAGGUCUUUAGUCAUACACAUAUAAAGUAAAAUUUGAUAUUAUAAAUUGGAUGAAUAUUCUUCAUGGUAUCUAAAACUACUUUUCGAACCUCUUUUAAGCCACUAAAAGGUCCAAUGGCUGAAACUGUGUUUCCCUGAACCAUAAUGUAACAGUUUGUUAAGAGUUCCAAUGCCUUCAGAGUAGAUCCUUUGGGACCAAUAAGUGGUUGUCUUCUUUUUACAAAUCUUUACUUCUUACUAGAGAACCUAUUUUAAUGAUGUCACACGCAACAUCAUCCUGAAGAAUUUGUACUGCCUGUUCAAAAGAAACACUUCUUGAUAACAGUUUUAUCAGAUCUCAGGCCCUGAUGAUGAUGUAUGGAUCAUAAGUCUUCUUUGUAGUACAAACAGUCAUGCUGCCCUCAAUCAGGUCCAGGGUUGCAUUAACGUGAUGUUCAUUCAAAGCCUUCUGCACCAAAGGCCAACACUCUUUCAGGUAGGCCUCUCUAUAUUUAGGGAACAAAGUUGCAAAACUGCUCUCCUCCAAGAGUCCUCUGGGAUUGUCCUCUUUAGAAAAAGCUGGUUCCUUCCAACCAUCAGGAACAGUGAGGGGUUCUGAUUCAUCUUGGUUCUCUGGCUUCGGUUUCUGGCUGCGAAAUUCAUUUCCUCAGGUGCUGCAGUUGUCCCGUUCUUCGAGGAGGACGCCAUUUUCAAACUGCUUCCCUUGGGUUAGUAAUUAUGCCUCCGUGUUCAUCCGGCUGAAAAAGAGCUUGGACCAUCCAGGGGCCUAAUGUCUCCUAUGAGCUGAGGAGCUUAGUUGUUGGAUGAUGAAAGGUGGGCGGCUGUUUUCCACUAGCCAACUAACAUCACUACGCCUCUAUGUUCUUAGUUGAAGUAAAAAAAUAAUGCCCAAUUUGUGCAGUGGAGGAAAUGAAAAAUGUUAACAUCUAAUAGAAAAAUGAAAUUUUAUUUCAUCUUAGGGAGCAAUGAUUUAGAGGUCAAAAACACACAAUGUAGGGGUCGGGAUUUAGCUCAGUGGUUUCGCCGCCUGCUACGCAAGCGCAGGGACCUGAGUUCAAUCCCGGUACCAAAACAACAACAACAACAAAAAAACCCACACAUAAUGUAGCUGGGGGGUUUAGUUAAAUGGUUCCGCUGCCUGCCUCACAAGCACAAGGUCCCGAGUUCAAUCCCCAGAACCCAAUAAGUAAAUAAAAACAAAAAUACACAAUGUAAAUAUUUUAUCUCCAGCAAUACUUAAAUGUAUGUUUUUUAUGAUCUAAAAGUUAGGGCCGGGGAUUUAGGUCAGUGGUUUUGCCGUCUGCUGCACAGGCUCAAGGAUCCAAGUUUGAUCCCCGGUAAAAAAAAAAAAAAAAAAAAAAAAAAAAAAGUUAAAAAAAGUACAAGAACUCUCAACAGUGUUGCAAUAGAUGCUGGGUAGACGCCCAUAGCAAGAAUGAAUUAGAAGUAAGCCAGGCAUGCCUUUAAUUCCAGAAUGGAGGCUGAGGCAGAAGGAUCCUGGUCAGUUCUAGUCCAGCAUGAACUACAUACAUACCGAGGCUGUUACGUUUGUUUUUAAUGUCCCCCAAAGCCUUAUGCGGACUUUCUUUUUCAGAGGUAGUUGAAUCUGGAAUGUGUGAUGCUGGGAUUAAUGGCGUGUGAUUACUAAACCACUACAUGUGAGUGAUUAGUUUGGCACCGCCCUAAUUCUGGUAAUCUGAAUAAGAUAAAAGGGGCAGAAAGAUGCUGUUAAACUGUCCCUUGUUGCCUUUGCUACCUUGUAGCGCCAUGUUGUUUCUCCUCUGCAAUGUCUGUUUUGCCAUCCCUGCCUUGCAGCCAGCUAACUAUGGACUGAAACCUACGAACUAAAAAACAAGGACGAAUUAGAACUAAUAAUGACACGACAGAGAAGGAAGUAACCUGGACCCUGGAAAACAGAGGGCAGACUCCUCCUUCCCCUGGCUCCUGAUGCUAAAGUAUCAGGACCACAGUUGCUCCUGCAGUUACAUCCCCAGCCCCAACCCUGGAAACCGAGC